Molecule: non-coding RNA, 29 nt
Filed under: Mus musculus (house mouse)
Lineage: Eukaryota; Metazoa; Chordata; Mammalia; Rodentia; Muridae
Source: RNAcentral
GAAUGCCCUAACUGAGAUGCUGAGACCAU